RNAcentral lists this transfer RNA (68 nucleotides) under Spondylus violaceus. RNAcentral describes it as "tRNA-Trp". It matches the Rfam family "tRNA". From Rfam's summary of the family: Transfer RNA (tRNA) molecules are approximately 80 nucleotides in length. Their secondary structure includes four short double-helical elements and three loops (D, anti-codon, and T loops). Further hydrogen bonds mediate the characteristic L-shaped molecular structure. tRNAs have two regions of fundamental functional importance: the anti-codon, which is responsible for specific mRNA codon recognition, and the 3' end, to which the tRNAs corresponding amino acid is attached (by aminoacyl-tRNA synthetases). tRNAs cope with the degeneracy of the genetic code in two manners: having more than one tRNA (with a specific anti-codon) for a particular amino acid; and 'wobble' base-pairing, i.e. permitting non-standard base-pairing at the 3rd anti-codon position. The record is from RNAcentral. Lineage: Eukaryota; Metazoa; Mollusca; Bivalvia; Pectinida; Spondylidae.
UGGGGCUUAAGUUAAAAAAACUCUGAGUUUUCAAAACUUGUAAUAAGGGUAAAAUCCCUUAGCCCUGA